This is a long non-coding RNA of Cavia porcellus (domestic guinea pig), 1007 nucleotides long. RefSeq lists it as uncharacterized. The transcript is spliced from 3 exons. The record is from RefSeq and is a predicted model, not a curated record. Lineage: Eukaryota; Metazoa; Chordata; Mammalia; Rodentia; Caviidae.
UACCCUGCUGAGAUUCUGGAAAAGGGCCACCAGAGUCCACCAGACCAUCUAGAUUUAUUUAGCCUUGAACUGCAGCCCCAGGUCUGUGCCCUACACAGGAGCAGACACUGAGACAACUGUGAUGCUUUGUGGGAGCCCCUGACAUGUACAUCAGGACUGAAAUGUCCUUGAGACUCUGAUUAAUAAAUUCUAUCCACAUGAGAAGAGGUGCUGUUACCUUUCAGAGUGCCCUUCGGCAUCUUCUGAAUUUGCCAGCAGAACACAGAUUCUUUCUAAGCAUUGCCCAGUGACUCAUUGCAAUCCACCCUUGGACAGCAGGGACAGCAGGAAGAUCUGCCACACUUCUCAGAAUUCUCUGGAAUGGAGCAGACGGGAGGUGGUAAGAGACCAGAGCCCGCGUGAGCAGAAGGAGGUUUGAUUUUUCCAAUAGAUUUCCCUUACCUGACAUUCUUCUUGAAAAAAAUGUGGAUGAGAACAGUAAUGCAGAUAAUCGAAGGGUUCCAGAAGCACCCACAAAGUCAUGGCUGGCUGGUGACCCAGGACAUUUGGAUGUGGCUGGAAGCCUCACUGAGCUGGAGAUAACGGAUCUGGGACUCAGUUUUGGCUGUGACAACAUAAUUAUAUUGUCACUGGGCAUUUCAACAAUCAAUCAAAACACUUUGAAAAGGAGCAGUAGAAUGGAUGAUAUGCAAGGCAGACAGGUAAAGCACCUCAUAGGACAGUGAGCUGCACUAGGGUAUAAAAAUCUCACAGCACAGCAAGUGCAGUUCAGAGAGGUCACUCGCCAGCCUGGGCUCUUGCUGUUGUCGGUAGACAGAACUGGAUAAGAGCCAGUUGUCAGUUCCCUUGGCUGAAGAGAGCUAUUUUUGUGAUCACUGUCUUCCAGGUAGAUCUAAACCUAUUGAUCUAUUAUGGUUUACACAAAGUGCUAAAAGAAAGGUCAUGGCAAAGUUUUAUUUUUGUCCUGUGGGAAGUUAAACUUCAAAGGAUAUAUAUAUAUAUAUAUA